GAUGAACGCUGGCGGCGUGCUUAACACAUGCAAGUCGAACGAAGCAUAUUUAUCUAAUCCCUUCGGGGUGAAGAAAAAUAUGACUUAGUGGCGGACGGGUGAGUAACGCGUGGGUAACCUGCCUUAUACAGGGGGAUAACAGUUGGAAACGACUGCUAAUACCGCAUAAGCAUACAGUGUCGCAUGACACAGUGUGAAAAGAUUUUAUCGGUAUAAGAUGGACCCGCGUCUGAUUAGCUAGUUGGUGAGGUAGUGGCUCACCAAGGCAACGAUCAGUAGCCGACUUGAGAGAGUGAUCGGCCACAUUGGGACUGAGACACGGCCCAAACUCCUACGGGAGGCAGCAGUGGGGAAUAUUGCACAAUGGGGGAAACCCUGAUGCAGCGACGCCGCGUGAAGGAUGAAGGUUUUCGGAUCGUAAACUUCUAUCAGCAAGGAAGAUAAUGACGGUACUUGACUAAGAAGCCCCGGCUAACUACGUGCCAGCCGCCGCCGUAACAC
Molecule: ribosomal RNA, 501 nt
Filed under: uncultured bacterium
Lineage: Bacteria
Description: bacterial SSU rRNA
Rfam family: Bacterial small subunit ribosomal RNA
Source: RNAcentral